UUUCCGUAGGUGAACCUGCGGAAGGAUCAUUAAUGAGUUGUCAUGGGGUUCGAUGCUGGCAGCCAGUUUUUGGAUGCAUGUGCUUGCCCUAACAAUCAUCUUCUUCCAAACACCUGUGCACAUUUUUGAGGGAGUCUUGAGUUGGUUACCGCUCUUGGGUGAUUUUCUCACAUUCCCUUAAAUCAUUAUACGCUAUUAACAAUGUUGAACGUGCUCUGUGCCGCAAGGCCAUUAAUAUAAUACAACUUUUAACAACGGAUCUCUUGGCUCUC
This 272-nucleotide unclassified non-coding RNA is filed under the name plant metagenome. RNAcentral's name for it is "partial contains small subunit ribosomal RNA, internal transcribed spacer 1, and 5.8S ribosomal RNA". The record is from RNAcentral.